RNAcentral lists this long non-coding RNA (1372 nucleotides) under Lytechinus variegatus (green sea urchin). RNAcentral describes it as "uncharacterized LOC121416793, transcript variant X4". Lineage: Eukaryota; Metazoa; Echinodermata; Echinoidea; Temnopleuroida; Toxopneustidae. The record is from RNAcentral.
UGGUAUCCACUCGUCAAUGUAAGUGCCCCCGGGGCAUUUUCCUCAUCUCGGUUGAGUGCAGCAGUGUUGAUAAAUUUCUUGCUGAAGGAAAACAUGCCAUGGCUAGGAUUCGAACCCACGACCCUCUGUUUGAAAGGCGAGUCAGAACCACUAGACCAUGACGUGCACACACAAACUCACACAAACUUAUCCCAUGACAAACUCAGAGCAGACACAAUAUACAUGAAAAAAUAAAGUAAUAUUUAUUCUAAAAUUCAUUCCCAUGUGUAUAAAAGUUCCACAAUAAUUACAUUCAGUAUUCACAAGUCAUUAUUAUUGGAACAUUUGUAUUUACAAUCAAAGCUGCUUUAGAGAUCAUCUGUCUACAAUAUCUUAUUGACUCUAUAAGAUUGAAAUUCAAAUUCAACUUCAUUACUACAAUUUAAAAAUAUACAAAUAUACAAAAUAAUUUACAAAAAUAGGAAUUAUACUUGUGGAGGGGUCAAAUUCAGCAUAACUGCUUCUAUAAAUUGAAUCCAUAAUAAAUAUCAAAUCAAUACGUGUAAAAAAAUUUACACCAAAGGUAACAAUAUGAACAUACAAACUGAAAGACGACAUAUUUUUAUCAUUUGUAUUUUAUGGUUUAUUAUUGAGCUACACAGCUGAAACCCCUGCUGGUGAUACACUUAUUUCUUUUAUUCUUUUUUACUAUAUCCCUUUCUCCAUUUUGGUUUACUAGUGCUUGAAAAAAUACAGGGGAGCUACCCUUUGAAGCACCGUCCUUGAUAAUAAGUGUGUAUCCUUGUAUAUCAUUGAAACAUGUAUUACAAGACCCUGUUCAUAUAAAGACUAUCCUAUUACAAAGACUACUUCUCUCUAUUGUUUGAUAUCUAUAUACAGGUUUUACUGUACCAUGAUACUGUAUAUCAUUGAAACAUGUAUUACAAGACCCUGUUCAUAUAAAGACUAUCCCAUUACAAAGACUACUUCUCUAUAUUGUUUGAUAUCUAUAUACAGGUUUUACUGUACCAUGAUACUGUAUAUCAUUGAAACAUGUAUUACAAGACCCUGUUCAUAUAAAGACUAUCCUAUUACAAAGACUACUUCUCUCUAUUGUUUGAUAUCUAUAUACAGGUUUUACUGUACCAUGAUACUGUAUAUCAUUGAAACAUGUAUUACAAGACCCUGUUCAUAUAAAGACUACUUCUCUCUAUUGUUUGAUAUCUAUAUACAGGUUUUACUGUACCAUGAUACUGUAUAUCAUUGAAACAUGUAUUACAAGACCCUGUUCAUAUAAAGACUAUCCUAUUAUAAAGACUACUUCUCUCUAUUGUUUGAUAUCUAUAUACAGGUUUUACUGUACCAUGAUACUGUAUAUCAUUGAAACAUGUAU